This 59-nucleotide transfer RNA is filed under the name Ptilodactylidae sp. 2 ACP-2013. Its description in RNAcentral is "tRNA-Val". The record is from RNAcentral. Lineage: Eukaryota; Metazoa; Arthropoda; Insecta; Coleoptera; Ptilodactylidae.
CAAAUUAUAGCUUAUUAAAAAGCUUUUUAUUUACAUUAAAAAGAAGAUUGUGUGAUUCA